AGAACGAACGCUGGCGGCAGGCUUAACACAUGCAAGUCGAACGCUCCGCAAGGAGAGUGGCAGACGGGUGAGUAACGCGUGGGAAUCUACCUAGUUCUACGGAACAACAGAGGGAAACUUCUGCUAAUACCGUAUACGCCCUACGGGGGAAAGAUUUAUCGGAAUUAGAUGAGCCCGCGUAAGAUUAGCUAGUUGGUGGGGUAAUGGCCUACCAAGGCGACGAUCUUUAGCUGGUCUGAGAGGAUGAUCAGCCACACUGGGACUGAGACACGGCCCAGACUCCUACGGGAGGCAGCAGUGGGGAAUAUUGGACAAUGGGCGCAAGCCUGAUCCAGCCAAGCCGCGUGAGUGAUGAAGGCCUUAGGGUUGUAAAGCUCUUUCAGUGGGGAAGAUAAUGACGUACCACAGAAGAAGCCCGCUAACUCGUGCCAGCAGCCGC
Molecule: ribosomal RNA, 439 nt
Filed under: uncultured soil bacterium
Lineage: Bacteria
Description: bacterial SSU rRNA
Rfam family: Bacterial small subunit ribosomal RNA
Source: RNAcentral